GGCCCUGUGGCCUAAUGGUAAGGCGUUGGUUUUCGGUUUCUAAACCACCAAAGAUUGUGCGUUCGAGUCGCAUCGGGGUCG
Non-coding RNA from Pyronema omphalodes CBS 100304, 81 nucleotides. The record is from Rfam. Lineage: Eukaryota; Fungi; Ascomycota; Pezizomycetes; Pezizales; Pyronemataceae.